CUGAGUGAAUAUGGGGACAGAGGAGGCCGCCAUACCUUCGGAAAAUCACAGCUGAAUUAUUUCACAUAUGUGAAGAGCGGCUACUGCGGAGGCCCUGGCAGGACGCAAAAACAAGACACUCGUCCCCUCUCCCACCGCUCCACCACCACCAGCCCAUCAAUCUGUUUCCAUCUGACCUUUACUGAGGGGCGUGUCAGCGCUACACUGAACCCACAUUGUGACUGCUGUCUUUCUGAUACAAGGUUAGGAUUGGCUGAAUGAUGUCCAAUCCAUACCUAGUGCUGCACGAGCAGAUGGGAAGGAAGAAAACCAUCCAGGAUGGAUGUGUCUACAGUACAUUAUACAGCAUGUAAGGCACGCUGAGGCGAGGCCUGAGCUGGGCCUUGGUGUUUGGGGCGGCGAGGUUUCCCUGUCACCGUGCUAACUCGAACGGAAAGCACUUCAGACUCGGACUGUCACAUCGACUUGGCUUUUUAUUUUAAGAUGGGAAGCAGUGCAGCCUCUCAAGCGAACUCAGCUUUUGGCAAACUAAGCUCAGGUUGGUUUGCGGAGUUGGCAAAAAACCCCCCCAAAAAAAACAGAAAUCCUGCAAACUUUGAAAAUCCGCCAAAUUCUCCCCGUUGUCUUGCUUUCCAGUUACAUUAACAAAGCACUGUCAUGUGCAUGUGUGGUGUGUCGUCUUAUCUUGGUUGUGUAGCCAAGGAGAAUUAAAUUGA
Molecule: long non-coding RNA, 716 nt
Organism: Lampris incognitus (smalleye Pacific opah)
Lineage: Eukaryota; Metazoa; Chordata; Actinopteri; Lampriformes; Lampridae
Exons: 3
Source: RefSeq, a predicted model, not a curated record